RNAcentral lists this ribosomal RNA (354 nucleotides) under uncultured fungus. Its description in RNAcentral is "eukaryotic LSU rRNA". The stretch from base 1 to 113 matches the Rfam family "5.8S ribosomal RNA", at positions 42 to 154 of the family's 154-position model. Lineage: Eukaryota; Fungi. The record is from RNAcentral.
AACGCAGCGAAGGGCGAUACGUAAUGUGAAUUGCAGAAUUCUGUGAAUCAUCGAAUCUUUGAACGCACAUUGCACUCCUUGGUAUUCCGAGGAGUAUGCCUGUUUCAGUAUCAUGAGCACUCUCACACCUAACCUUUGGGUUUAUGGCGUGGAAUUGGAAUGCGCCGACUGUCAUGGUUGGCCCUUCUAAAAUGUAGUUCUUAACUGUCACCUAAUACAGCAGUUUGGCCUAAUAGUUUUGGCAUUCAUUGUCAAAUCUUUGGCUAACAUUUGCUCCAGGAGUCAGUCUUGAUAAUACAGAAAACUCAUUCAAAUUUUGAUCUGAAAUCAGGUAGGGCUACCCGCUGAACUUAA